UAAAGUUGUUGAACCAUGCUUUAGUGAAAUAUUCAGGGUUUGUGGACGUGAAAUGUCAUGUGACACAAGUUUUGGAAAAUGUACAAGGUUCUUCUUUAGCUAUUGAUGUCGAACAACUGUAACCAUAUAAGGUUUUCAAGAAAAUAUCGAAUCGAGUAGAUUGAUUUUAGCAACCAUAUCAUCCAAAACCA
Non-coding RNA from Sesamum indicum (sesame), 191 nucleotides. The record is from RefSeq and is a predicted model, not a curated record. Lineage: Eukaryota; Viridiplantae; Streptophyta; Magnoliopsida; Lamiales; Pedaliaceae.